CAGAGGGAGUUGAACAAUCACCAAGGUUACUAAACAGUACACUUGUAAAUAUGCGGGUAAAAGGUUACUUAUAUGUGCAGUUGUACACUAAAAAAUAAAUAGGCAGUAAAAUGCACUUCAUUUUGUUAAAAAAAAUGUGGAGGAGAUAUUUUAAGGGUGCAAAUACAGUACUACAAGUCCAAGGAAAGACAUACAUACAACACCAUGACAUAAAGAAAAA
RNAcentral lists this long non-coding RNA (220 nucleotides) under Mytilus galloprovincialis (Mediterranean mussel). Lineage: Eukaryota; Metazoa; Mollusca; Bivalvia; Mytilida; Mytilidae. The record is from RNAcentral.